CAUGUAUUGGCUUGGCCAAAAAGUUCACUCGGGUUUUUCAUAAGUGCUCACAAGAAAACCUGAACAAACUUUUUGGCCAACCCAAUA
This 87-nucleotide microRNA precursor is filed under the name Ovis aries (sheep). Its description in RNAcentral is "miRNA (ENSOARG00000024092.1)". The record is from RNAcentral. Lineage: Eukaryota; Metazoa; Chordata; Mammalia; Artiodactyla; Bovidae.